Molecule: non-coding RNA, 925 nt
Organism: Taeniopygia guttata (zebra finch)
Lineage: Eukaryota; Metazoa; Chordata; Aves; Passeriformes; Estrildidae
Source: RefSeq, a predicted model, not a curated record
UCUGGCACGUUCACUACGCAGCAGAGCAGACGUGGCGAUGUCUAAACAGGAACUGUAUGAAAAGACCAAACUGCAGUAGAAUUCUUUUCCCUCCAAAGACAUGCUCAGGAAGACCCCAGAUUUUCAGCUUUCCAUUUCAAUACAAAAGAUGCAACCCGAAGCAUGUGGUGUGCUGGGGGAGAGGGGCUAUAAUUUCUCUUUCCCUCCUGUCCAGAUUCAGCCAAACAUUGUUUCAGCCCCAUUUACAGACAUUCUCCACUGCCCUGACUCCUUUCCAGACCUGCUGGGAAUGCUGGGCUGUGGAAAUUCAUGGACAUUGACCUCUUAACAAAUAAGCUUCAUGCAAUCUGUGCCUAAAAUCAGAGCUAAAAAUUCAGCGUGGCUGUCUCUUGGGACCCAGCAGAAGAGGGGGCAAAGAUCCUGAUCCAAACUGCCCCCAAAUGGCAGCAAUUCCACAGCAAUCUCCUGAUCCUCCAGCCUCAUUUACAGCAAAGCUGGACCUGGACACAUUUACUGGAGAUCUCUCAGGUUCCUUAUGGUGGCACAGAACCAAGAACAGGCAGCCCCCUGAGCUGCUCCCAAAAGUCUGGAGAAUUGGCCUGCCAUAGGGGAAUAAAUAAGAAAAUCUCUCCCAGGAAGGCUCAAAUCAAGAGCCACAAGCAGAGGGGGUCAGCAGUGCCCUGGCCCCACGGUGACUCGUUGAAAUGAAGAUCUGGGCGGGAUGUUGGGGGAAAUGCUAAUGGCUGGGAGCAGCUCAUGUCAAGCUGAAUAAAUCCCCUGCUCUCCCUUCUGAAGCACAAUGGCACAUGAAUGACUAAGCAAUUCUGAUAACAAUUCAAUAGACAAAUGUCAGCUUGCUUUGAUUAAACAUUACUUGUGGAGCUGUUUCAGGGCAGUUAAAGACACAUCAGUCUGUCUGUCUCAC